This 253-nucleotide ribosomal RNA is filed under the name uncultured bacterium. RNAcentral's name for it is "partial 16S ribosomal RNA". It matches the Rfam family "Bacterial small subunit ribosomal RNA", at positions 524 to 776 of the family's 1533-position model. The record is from RNAcentral.
UACGGAGGGGGCUAGCGUUGUUCGGAAUUACUGGGCGUAAAGGGUGCGUAGGCGGCGUGCCAAGUCGGGCGUGAAAGCCCUGGGCUCAACCCGGGAAUUGCGUUCGAGACUGGCAUGCUGGAGUCCGGGAGAGGAUGGCGGAAUUCCCAGUGUAGAGGUGAAAUUCGUAGAUAUUGGGAAGAACACCGGUGGCGAAGGCGGCCAUCUGGACCGGCACUGACGCUGAGGCACGAAAGCGUGGGGAGCAAACAGG